RNAcentral lists this long non-coding RNA (1235 nucleotides) under Phasianus colchicus (ring-necked pheasant). RNAcentral describes it as "lncRNA (ENSPCLG00000000970.1)". Lineage: Eukaryota; Metazoa; Chordata; Aves; Galliformes; Phasianidae. The record is from RNAcentral.
AGAGCUCAUCACACUGAGAUGUGGCCAGGACUUCACUGAGUCAUAGAAACAUAGAAUUGUCAUAGAACUAUUUCUCUUAGAAGGGACCCUUAAAGACCAUCUGGUCCAACCCCCUGCAGUGAACAGGGACACCCACAGCUCCAUCAGGUGCUCACAACCCUGUCCAGCCUGAUCUUGGGUGUCUCCAGGGAUGGGGCAUCCACCGCCUCUUUGGGUAGCCUGUGCUUCAUCACACUUAUUGUAAAAAACUUCUUCCUUACCAUGCAGUCUUAAUCUCCCCUCCUUUAGUUUGCGACCAUUUCUCCUUAUCCUGUCACAGAGACCCUGCUGAAGAGUCUGUCCCCUUCCUUCUUACAGCCCCUUUAGAUACUGAAAGCUGCUAUCAGGUCUCCCCGGAGACAUCUCCAGGAAUCUUUUAUUUUUAUUAAAACAACUUACUCCCUAUAUUAUUUGACCCUGCAGUGUGACAGUGCCCAAUCCAUGGCAGAACUCAGGCUGUAAGGUGUUUGCUGUGGGGUAAUGAUAUCAAGUUGGCCUACGGGCAGACAACCUUAUGGAGAGCUCACAUUGCACAGGAAUUGCAAGCUACAGACUGGAACAACAGAGAGCUGCAAAGCACACCUGCCCAUGGAUUAUGGAAGUGACUUCAUGCUAUCUGUCCAGAAGAAAUAAAGUUGCAGUGAGCAAAGGAAGGUUCCUUGACCUGACCAGAUGGAUCCAUGCAGAUGAAAAACAAAUUCUUCUCCUUCUUGAGGAAAGGAAGCUGUGUGGAAGUGAAAUAUCUGCUUGCUUUGGAUUUUUCACAAAAGGACAAUGUAAAUGGGGGUACCUCAUAAAAUGCAAAUAUAACUUCUGAGUGAGGGGAAGAAGGGUUUGACAGUAUAGUCCUUCUGGAAACAAUUCCAGCAGAGGAUUAGGAGCUAUGGAUGGUAUUUCCAUAAGCCUUUGUUUUUGGCCUGACGAUGACUCCCAGAGAAGCUAAUGAAAAUGCCAUUGUAUCCAAGAGGAACAGACCUGAGACAGCACAGAGCGAACUGCAGAUCCCAGCCUUUGACUCAGUAGUGUAAAUACUUUGCCUUUAUAAGCAAAGAUUAGUAAAUUCAGGGACGUUAUUCAAAAUGCAAUUUGGUAGCUGCUUCACCAAGCACUGUCCAUACACACUGAGCAUACUUAUCUCCUAUGGCUUUAAGACAGCUCUGUGUUGUUAAGGAACAAGGAAAUAAAUCACAAAAGCA